CUAACCCAAACCCGAAUGGCCCACUACAACCCAUUCCAACCUAAUACCCAUCUAAAUUAACCCACAUAAAACCCAAAUACCCACAACCCAUUACAAACCAAACCCAAUACAGCAAGCUCAAUAUCAUUAACCCCAACUACCCGAAACCCUAGCCCUAUUUUCAGCUCCCCACUUACCUUCUGCCCCCAACCACUCCACUGGCCACCAGCCACCAGCCACCUGCCCACUGCAGCAUCGUCCCAUCACAUCCACCACCCUCUGCACCUGCAAGCCAGUAAAGAGAAGAGACAGAAACAAUAUAAAAAUAAAUGCUGUAAAAAACCCGAAUGAAAUGCUGUAAAAAAGGGUUGGAUUUUGAAACAAUACCGAGGAUAUUCCAAUAUACACAAGCAGAUUCAAAAAAUAUAUAAGGAAAACACGAGAAUAGCAUCAAUCCGGUAACCAAAAUACAGGCAUCAAACAUUAAGGUGAUUUUUUUAUUUUUCUAUUUUUAAUUUCGUUUUUAGAUAUAUUUUCUCACUUAUAUAUAUAUUAGAACAUAUUAACAAAAAAAUUCAAAAAAAAAUUACCUAUUGAACUUCCGGCCACCGCGUGCGGUGGCCAGCGCCGGCGACGCACGAUGGUCCGGUGACCGGACGAUGGCCG
RNAcentral lists this long non-coding RNA (645 nucleotides) under Gossypium barbadense (sea-island cotton). RNAcentral's name for it is "long non-coding RNA (GBAR_LNC004865)". Lineage: Eukaryota; Viridiplantae; Streptophyta; Magnoliopsida; Malvales; Malvaceae. The record is from RNAcentral.